Molecule: long non-coding RNA, 568 nt
Organism: Zophobas morio
Lineage: Eukaryota; Metazoa; Arthropoda; Insecta; Coleoptera; Tenebrionidae
Exons: 3
Source: RefSeq, a predicted model, not a curated record
GGAAGGAAUAUAAUGGAGGGAGUGCGCCGUAUCUCGGCAAUGUAAAUUCUUGGCACCAGUGCAAGCACCUUUUAUUACUCUUUUCAAUUAGCGCGCCCUUCACCGCGCAUGCUUACUUUAAUAAUUUCAUCAGCCAGCACUGACCAGUGUCGUACGAUUCUGUUUUUGUCAUUUUCGCUUUUAACCUCGUGUUUAGUGUGAACGUUUUGUUUUGAAUUUGCGAUAAGCGUUUCAUGUUUAUUUAAAAACUUAAAAUGGUUAGUUGCAAAUUGUGUAAAGUUACGAGUGGCUCCAGGUCAACAAUUGGUAGAGAAAAAAUAACGUUUCACAGGUGUCCCCAGAAACCUGAAUUAAAGAAACUGUGGACAGACUUCCUUUAUCUUCACCUAGGAAAUUCUGUGUCUGUGAACAACUUUUUCCUGUGUUCAUUUCAUUUUGAAGAAAAGUGUUUUGAUAGAACAUCAGCCCAGAAAGUAGUUUUAAGACCACAUUCAGUACCAACUAUUUCUUAUACUUAUGAAGAAAGGAUUACCAAUGUAGUGACCUUUAGAGGCAAUGAAACGCAUCA